Molecule: long non-coding RNA, 270 nt
Filed under: Sparus aurata (gilthead seabream)
Lineage: Eukaryota; Metazoa; Chordata; Actinopteri; Spariformes; Sparidae
Description: lncRNA (ENSSAUG00010019546.1)
Source: RNAcentral
CCUGCAGACUGCAGGUAUCAGGAAGUGUUGCUCUGUCUCUUCAUCUUGCUGCUGUUGGCAGAACUGACGCACAAACUCCAUCUGCUACCGAAAGGCCUCAAGAUGCAGCAGAGAGAUCCAGGAGACAUCUAGUUCUUCAGGGCUGAGGGUUCCCCUGUCACAAUGACUGGAGACCUGAAGUUUAGUGAUUCUCCAGGAUCCAUCUGUGACUAGUCUAAAUACAGACAUUCAGACGUCAGUAAUGAAGUAAGAAAGAGUUUCUCUUGUUAA